AGUGAACGCUGGCGGUAGGCCUAACACAUGCAGGUCGAACGGCAGCACAGUAAGAGCUUGCUCUUACGGGUGGCGAGUGGCGGACGGGUGAGGAAUACAUCGGAAUCUACUUUUUCGUGGGGGAUAACGUAGGGAAACUUACGCUAAUACCGCAUACGACCUACGGGUGAAAGCAGGGGAUCUUCGGACCUUGCGCGAUUGAAUGAGCCGAUGUCGGAUUAGCUAGUUGGCGGGGUAAAGGCCCACCAAGGCGACGAUCCGUAGCUGGUCUGAGAGGAUGAUCAGCCACACUGGAACUGAGACACGGUCCAGACUCCUACGGGAGGCAGCAGUGGGGAAUAUUGGACAAUGGGCGCAAGCCUGAUCCAGCCAUACCGCGAGGGUGAAGAAGGCCUUCGGGUUGUAAAGCCCUUUUGUUGGGAAAGAAAAGCAGCAGGUUAAUACCCCGCUGUUCUGACGGUACCCAAAGAAUAAGCACCGGCUAACUUCGUG
RNAcentral lists this ribosomal RNA (492 nucleotides) under uncultured bacterium. RNAcentral describes it as "partial 16S ribosomal RNA". It matches the Rfam family "Bacterial small subunit ribosomal RNA", at positions 29 to 507 of the family's 1533-position model. The record is from RNAcentral.